AGUCACUGACAUUAGAUACCCCUGUAGUCCAGGGUGUAAACGCUGCAGACUUGGUGUUUGGAAGUCCUUUUGGGGGCAUUCAGUGCCGGAGAGAAGUUGUUAAGUCUGCUACUUGGGAGUACGUCCGCAAGGCUGAAACUUAAAGGAAUUGGCGGGGGAGCACCGCAACGGGAGGAGCGUGCGGUUUAAUUUGGAUUCAACACCGGAAAACUCACCAAGGGCGACUGUUACAUGAAAGCCAGGCUAAUGACCUUGCUUGAUUUUCAG
This 267-nucleotide ribosomal RNA is filed under the name uncultured archaeon. RNAcentral's name for it is "partial 16S ribosomal RNA". It matches the Rfam family "Archaeal small subunit ribosomal RNA", at positions 718 to 982 of the family's 1478-position model. The record is from RNAcentral.